This 860-nucleotide long non-coding RNA is filed under the name Homo sapiens (human). RNAcentral's name for it is "HSALNT0003034". The record is from RNAcentral. Lineage: Eukaryota; Metazoa; Chordata; Mammalia; Primates; Hominidae.
AUGUAUUAUGUAGCAAUUGAGAACUAGGCCCUGGGCUGAGUUUCAUUUCAUCCUAUGAGGUGGGUACUGUUACUGUCCCCAUUCUACACAUGUGGAAACUGAGGCACUUAGAGGCUACGGGACUUUUCUGAGGUCAUGAUUUAUAGGCGUGUGUUCCUGAGCUCUCAUUCACUGUCCACAGCCCAACACAUGGCCUAAAAACAACAGAUACGAUGAAAGAGAUCUUGCCUGCAGAUGAAAGCAAGAGGGAAACCGGCCUCCCCCAGCCCUGGCCUGGCCCUGGGCCCACUGCACAUUGUGGUCAAGGCAAAGUCAGGGCUGGGACGUCUGGAGAAGGCCAGAAGGCUCCUGCCCACCCAUGGGCCUGGGGCUUCCAGGGGCCCUGGUGCAAAGCCUCGGAUGAAGUACUGGGGGAGGCAAAAGGAAAUGGAGGCCCUGUUUCUGGGGGCAAUCGGCUGGCAUGCCAGGAAGGGGGCCUUGGCAGAGCCUAGAGUCAGACAGGGUGAUGACAAAUGACCCCGGGGCCCCUCCAGCACCGCCCCUGGGGACUCUGCCUUGCCCACUCUACUCCAGCCACUCAGGCUUCCUUCUGUUCCUUGAAACUCAGCAAGCUCAUCUCCCUCCACCCCAGGGCCUCUGCACACAGUGCCCACACCGCCGGAAUGCUCUCCUCCGCACCCUCCCGAGACCUCCUCGGCCUUCAGGUUUCAGAUUGAAUGAUGCCUCCUCCAAGAGCCUCCGACUGGUGACCCAAUCCAUUCUCCAAUCCAGCCCUCUGUUUUCUUAAUGUACUUGGCACACUUUAUAAUCAUUUGUUGUAGUGAUUAUAGGUGAUUUAAUAAAUUAACAUUUUCAUAUCA